GCCGAUGUAGCUCAGCUGGUAGAGCAAUGGUUUUGUAAACCAUAGGUCGUCGGUUCGAGCCCGACCAUCGGCUCCA
This 76-nucleotide transfer RNA is filed under the name bacterium. RNAcentral's name for it is "tRNA-Thr". It matches the Rfam family "tRNA". Rfam says of the family: Transfer RNA (tRNA) molecules are approximately 80 nucleotides in length. Their secondary structure includes four short double-helical elements and three loops (D, anti-codon, and T loops). The record is from RNAcentral.